Molecule: ribosomal RNA, 915 nt
Filed under: Salmonella enterica subsp. enterica serovar Enteritidis
Lineage: Bacteria; Pseudomonadati; Pseudomonadota; Gammaproteobacteria; Enterobacterales; Enterobacteriaceae
Description: partial 23S ribosomal RNA
Rfam family: Bacterial large subunit ribosomal RNA
Source: RNAcentral
CCCUUUGGGUGUGACUGCGUACCUUUUGUAUAAUGGGUCAGCGACUUAUAUUCUGUAGCAAGGUUAACCGAAUAGGGGAGCCGGAGGGAAACCGAGUCUUAAUUGGGCGUUAAGUUGCAGGGUAUAGACCCGAAACCCGGUGAUCUAGCCAUGGGCAGGUUGAAGGUUGGGUAACACUAACUGGAGGACCGAACCGACUAAUGUUGAAAAAUUAGCGGAUGACCUGUGGCUGGGGGUGAAAGGCCAAUCAAACCGGGAGAUAGCUGGUUCUCCCCGAAAGCUAUUUAGGUAGCGCCUCGUGAAUUCAUCUCCGGGGGUAGAGCACUGUUUCGGCUAGGGGGCCAUCCCGGCUUACCAACCCGAUGCAAACUGCGAAUACCGGAGAAUGUUAUCACGGGAGACACACGGCGGGUGCUAACGUCCGUCGUGAAGAGGGAAACAACCCAGACCGCCAGCUAAGGUCCCAAAGUCAUGGUUAAGUGGGAAACGAUGUGGGAAGGCCCAGACAGCCAGGAUGUUGGCUUAGAAGCAGCCAUCAUUUAAAGAAAGCGUAAUAGCUCACUGGUCGAGUCGGCCUGCGCGGAAGAUGUAACGGGGCUAAACCAUGCACCGAAGCUGCGGCAGCGACACUGUGUGUUGUUGGGUAGGGGAGCGUUCUGUAAGCCUGCGAAGGUGGCCUGUGAGGGUUGCUGGAGGUAUCAGAAGUGCGAAUGCUGACAUAAGUAACGAUAAAGCGGGUGAAAAGCCCGCUCGCCGGAAGACCAAGGGUUCCUGUCCAACGUUAAUCGGGGCAGGGUGAGUCGACCCCUAAGGCGAGGCCGAAAGGCGUAGUCGAUGGGAAACGGGUUAAUAUUCCCGUACUUGGUGUUACUGCGAAGGGGGGACGGAGAAGGCUAUGUUGGCCGGGCGACGGUU